This 253-nucleotide ribosomal RNA is filed under the name uncultured bacterium. RNAcentral describes it as "partial 16S ribosomal RNA". It matches the Rfam family "Bacterial small subunit ribosomal RNA", at positions 524 to 776 of the family's 1533-position model. The record is from RNAcentral.
UACGGAGGGUGCAAGCGUUAUCCGGAAUUACCGGGUUUAAAGGGUGCGUAGGCGGCUUGAUCAGUCAGAGGUGAAAGCCUAUCGCUUAACGAUAGAAUUGCCUUUGAUACUGUAAAGCUUGAAAGGGGUUGAGGUCAGCAGAAUGUGGCAUGUAGCGGUGAAAUGCAUAGAUAUGCCAUAGAACACCGAUUGCGAAGGCAGCUGGCUGGGCCUACUUUGACGCUGAGGCACGAAAGCGUGGGGAGCGAACAGG